AGUCGAGGGGUAUAAGUAGCUUGCUAUUUAGAGACCGGCGCACGGGUGCGUAACGCGUAUGCAAUCUGCCUUUCACAAAGGGAUAGCCCAGAGAAAUUUGGAUUAAUACCUUAUGGUAUAUUGAUGUGGCAUCACAUUAUUAUUAAAGAUUUAUCGGUGAAAGAUGAGCAUGCGUCCCAUUAGCUAGUUGGUAAGGUAACGGCUUACCAAGGCUACGAUGGGUAGGGGUCCUGAGAGGGAGAUCCCCCACACUGGUACUGAGACACGGACCAGACUCCUACGGGAGGCAGCAGUGAGGAAUAUUGGACGAUGGGCGCAAGCCUGAUCCAGCCAUGCCGCGUGCAGGAUGAAGCAUCUAUGGUGUGUAAACUGCUUUUAUACGGGAAGAAACCCUGGCUCGUGAGCCAGACUGACGGUACCGUAAGAAUAAGGAUCGGCUAACUCCGUGCCAGCAGCCGCGGUAAUACGGAGGAUCCAAGCGUUAUCCGGAAUCAUUGGGUUUAAAGGGUCCGUAGGCGGCCUUAUAAGUCAGUGGUGAAAUCUCCCGGCUCAACCGGGAAAUUGCCAUUGAUACUGUAGGGCUUGAAUUAUUAGGAAGUAACUAGAAUAUGUAGUGUAGCGGUGAAAUGCUUAGAUAUUACAUGGAAUACCGAUUGCGAAGGCAGGUUACUACUAAUGGAUUGACGCUGAUGGACGAAAGCGUGGGUAGCGAACAGGAUUAGAUACCCUGGUAGUCCACGCCGUANACGAUGGAUACUAGCUGUUGGGGGCAACUUCAGUGGCUAAGCGAAAGUGAUAAGUAUCCCACCUGGGGAGUACGAACGCAAGUUUGAAACUCAA
Molecule: ribosomal RNA, 840 nt
Filed under: uncultured Bacteroidota bacterium
Lineage: Bacteria; Pseudomonadati; Bacteroidota
Description: bacterial SSU rRNA
Rfam family: Bacterial small subunit ribosomal RNA
Source: RNAcentral